This is a long non-coding RNA of Tripterygium wilfordii, 415 nucleotides long. RefSeq lists it as uncharacterized. The record is from RefSeq and is a predicted model, not a curated record. The transcript has 4 exons. Lineage: Eukaryota; Viridiplantae; Streptophyta; Magnoliopsida; Celastrales; Celastraceae.
GAUUUGCAAAUGGAAUAUUGGUCUUGAGGGCAAUCUGGAAUCUUGAGUUAAUUAGGAACGGGAGCAAUUAUCAUGAAGUCUAUUGAACUUGAUUAUUGUGGAUCUUCUUAAUGAGCGCAAUUGAGAUGUUUGAAGCACAGCUGAGAGAAACUACAAGCAAUUUGGAUUCAUCGUCAGCGGAGAAGGGGUUCUUUGGUGAUUAAUAAAUGGCUCUAUCUCCUGAAUCUCUUAAACUGUAAGAAUAUAAUACGCUGGCUUGCUAAAACUCUCAGUUGUUCCUACAUGGACUCUCCACUCUUUCUUAUUUCUAUUUCGAACACUCACGUUGUCUCCAUUACAACAUCUCCAGAGGCAAUUAAAAAAGUUUAAUGUUCUACGGACCUGUUGUCUGCUUGCUGUUCCCGACUGAAUUUGC